This is a long non-coding RNA of Oreochromis aureus, 1846 nucleotides long. NCBI's taxonomy places the organism in Eukaryota, Metazoa, Chordata, Actinopteri, Cichliformes, Cichlidae. The record is from Ensembl.
GUAUUAACCCCUGCAUCAUCAUCAUCAUCCCAACAAAGUGACCCCAGCUGUGUUCUCUCUAUAUUCAAACUCUGUGAUGUUAUGGAGCUUAUCUACACUGUAAAAGCCACAAAAUGUCCUGGUAAUUUUCUGUUUUUUUACAGAAAUUGACUGACUUUUCCAUAAAUGAUGAUAAAAUAAAUUUCUUAAGUAUUUACAGAAUACUCUCUGUAGGAUUUAGACAUUUCCUUCAGCUAUAAAAGGGAAAAUUCUCUUUAUUCAGUGCAUUUUCUGUAUUGUUAACUAAUAUUUUCCAUUAAUAGAAAAAGUUCUGUUUAUAUUACCCUUUACAGGCACUUCUUUUUACUGUAACUCAUUAAAUGUAAAUUUCUAUACAAUUCCAACCUAAUACACCAUUUGCUCAAACAUUCAUAAAUUAAAACUUUAUAAAUUAAUCUGUGCUUAGUACACAACAACAUUGGUACAGUUACUGUUAAAUAUUCUUUUAUUCUCCUCAACUCAGAAACUAUCCUAAAAUAUAGUGACCGUCAAGACAGGCUGUGUGGCAGGCAGGAAUGGUGGACCCAAAACGCAGGACUCUCAGAGACGGGACUUGGACUCAAAACGCAGCUUUUAUUGCUGGAAAAACUCUUCAUGAAAAUAAACACUUACAAAAACCUCAAAGCUGAAACUAAGACGAGACAAACAAACAGCAAGAAGAGGGUACCAAACAUUAACGACACGACAGAUAAUGUGAACACACUGAGCAGAUUAGAGGCUGCAGAGGGACGUAACACCUCCCUUAAAAGGGUUCCUCUAGGACCCCUAAAUUUAUUAAAAGCCCCUCUAAAGCCUUCAGGUCCUUGACCCACAAACCUGGAAUAAAAGUAAAAGCUAACAGAAGCACAGUGUUCACAUUAACACAAAACCAAAAGUAGCAACAAAUAAUCACAACCAAGUGAUCUGUUGUCUCCACCACACAAACGGUCACAUACAAGUGGCCUUAUACCACAACAAGUUACUUUAAUCCACAAGGUUCAGUAAAGCAAGCACAAUAGUGACCAACCACAAAAUGUAGAGCUAUGGCCACACAAUGAUCACAUCAAGGGUGGCUCAGCACCCCACAGUGUUAUUGCCAUCACCUGGCCAACAACACUCACAAGUGAUCCAACAAAAGUAGCCAUAUUCCCCACAACACUAAAGGUCACAGCACAAAACACUCACCUCAUGAGGAUCUCAUUAGCAUCCAUCAACACUGACAUAUUAGAGGCACACACGGUGUACACACUAUGCCAACUUAAAAACGACCUACCUGCCUCAGCUACAAGACCAUUAUUAAUGAAUGGUCUCAAACCUCCUGCCAAGUUUGGUGCCACUGAUUCACUUUGAGCAACUCCCAUCCUAAAACGCUAAAAACAAAACUUGACCCGUCUAGUCUUCAGUGGUGUACCGGGCUCGAGGCAACUUUGAACGCGAACUCGAGAGCAGGCAGCAGACCAGAGAUAUAGUCUCCUACCAAACUCUGAAGCGUGCCCCCACCCAGGAUAACCACCAAACAUAAAAUUAAAACAAAGCAAAACAAUAAACAAGUGCUUCGAUGGAAGGGCAGCACAGCCACCCAGCUGAAACACACUAAAGAGUUUGCUCAAUUACAGUGAACACCAUCACUCACCCACUUAAAAGCAAUACAAAAAACUGAUAUUCAGUCUCCACUAAAAUGUCCAAAGAUCCCGGACGAGCUCCCACUUAUGUUACGACCCGGCUCAAAAGCCACAACAUAGAAAAGUAGAAGAAUACCAGAGUGUUAGUGAGAAGAGGGUUUAUCUUAAAAUGGAAUACCAGGUUGGCUAAAAUGGCUGGUGCCACC